UGGACCGGAUACAGGUGCUGCAUGGCUGUCGUCAGCUCGUGUCGUGAGAUGUUGGGUUAAGUCCCGCAACGAGCGCAACCCUCGCCCUAGUUGCCAGCAUUUAGUUGGGCACUCUAAGGGGACUGCCGGUGAUAAGCCGAGAGGAAGGUGGGGAUGACGUCAAGUCCUCAUGGCCCUUACGGGCUGGGCUACACACGUGCUACAAUGGUCGGUACAAAGGGUUGCCAAGCCGCGAGGUGGAGCUAAUCCCAUAAAACCGAUCGUAGUCCGGAUCGCAGUCUGCAACUCGACUGCGUGAAGUCGGAAUCGCUAGUAAUCGUGAAUCAGAAUGUCACGGUGAAUACGUUCCCGGGCCUU
This 357-nucleotide ribosomal RNA is filed under the name uncultured Rhizobiaceae bacterium. RNAcentral's name for it is "bacterial SSU rRNA". It matches the Rfam family "Bacterial small subunit ribosomal RNA", at positions 1024 to 1382 of the family's 1533-position model. Lineage: Bacteria; Pseudomonadati; Pseudomonadota; Alphaproteobacteria; Hyphomicrobiales; Rhizobiaceae. The record is from RNAcentral.